Molecule: long non-coding RNA, 425 nt
Filed under: Pongo abelii (Sumatran orangutan)
Lineage: Eukaryota; Metazoa; Chordata; Mammalia; Primates; Hominidae
Description: lincRNA
Source: RNAcentral
GGGUAAUGGCACGGGGACCCACCAGCUUGUCUGCCGCCAUCUGGGGUACAGUGCUGGGAGCUGGGAUACAGGGACAAAUAAGACACAGAUCCUGUCCCUAAAGAGGCUGGAGUGCAAUGGCGCGAUCUCAGCUCACUGCAACCUCUGCCUCCCGGGUUCAAGCGAUUCUCCUCUCUCAGCUUCCUGAGUAGCUGGGAUUACAGAGAAAUACAGAAGAGAGUCCCGGAGAGGAGGAGGAGCCUGCCUGAAGAUGGAGCAGAGACUGGAGUUAUUCAGCCAAGUCAAGGAAUGCCUGGAGCCAUCAGAAGCCGGAAGAGGCAAGGAAGGAUCCUCCCCUAGAGCAUUUGGAAGAGUGUGGCCCUGCCAACACCUUGAUUUCAAACUUCUGGGCUCCAUAACUAUGAAAUAAAUUCUUGUUGUUUUAA